Molecule: ribosomal RNA, 411 nt
Filed under: Triticum aestivum (bread wheat)
Lineage: Eukaryota; Viridiplantae; Streptophyta; Magnoliopsida; Poales; Poaceae
Description: partial small subunit ribosomal RNA
Source: RNAcentral
AUGAAGGGGUACUGGGCAACCCAAAAUUACUCCUAUUCGAGGAGGUCUCGGUCUUGGAGUUGGCACAAGGCUCACAAGGGACGCAGAUGCGGAGAGUCAGCAAAACAUGGGGGUGGUAACGGCAGCAGCAAGCAUGGAAAGGCUCGAGCGCCAACGACGCCAGCAAAGCAAAGGAGCAUCAGGGUUCAUGUCAUAGCAGAGGCAAGAGCGGGGCACGAGGAGCAAGGCAAGCAGCAACACAAGACGCGGACAGAGGUGCUGGCAAGCACUUAUGGUGGUGGAGCAGGGGCUCCACGCGAACAGGGUCGCGGUGGAGGUCGCCGUCGGGCGCGCAAGCAUGCCGAGCAGGGCGCCCUCAGGUCGUGCAGAAGAGGGGGCCAGAGCAAGGGAAGGAGGGCGACGCAGAGGUGA